This 218-nucleotide unclassified non-coding RNA is filed under the name uncultured Tomentella. RNAcentral's name for it is "sequence contains ITS2". The record is from RNAcentral. Lineage: Eukaryota; Fungi; Basidiomycota; Agaricomycetes; Thelephorales; Thelephoraceae.
ACACCUCAACUCUCAUGGCUUGCCAUGACGAGCUUGGACUUUGGGGGUCUUGCUGGCCUUUGGUCGGCUCCUCUCAAAUGAAUUAGCUUUCCAGUGUCUGGCAGCAUCACAAGUGUGAUAAAUAUCUACGCUUGUGGUUUCCUGCUGGGUAACCUUCAGCGAUGGGGGUUCGCUGGGGCUCAUAAAUGUCUCUCCUCAGCGAAGACAGUUUUGUGAAC